This 1704-nucleotide ribosomal RNA is filed under the name metagenome. Its description in RNAcentral is "bacterial LSU rRNA". It matches the Rfam family "Bacterial large subunit ribosomal RNA", at positions 1188 to 2925 of the family's 2925-position model. The record is from RNAcentral.
ACCACACCGAAGCCGCGGAACCCGUAAGGGUUGGUAGAGGAGCAUUCUUAGGGGAGCGAAGCAUUACCGGAAGGGGAUGUGGACCGCUAAGAAGAGAGAAUGCCGGAAUGAGUAGCGAGAGCAAGGUGAGAAUCCUUGCGGCCGAAUAUCCAAGGUUUCCAGAGUAAAGCUGAUCUGCUCUGGGUAAGUCGGGGCCUAAGGAGAGGCAGAGAUGCGUAUCCGAUGGACAGCAGGUUUAAGAUUCCUGCACCCCUUGUUAUCAGAACUGCGGGGACACGGGAAGGGAAGCAGAGCCGGGAAUGGAAAGCCCGGUGCAAGCGAAGGAGUCGCAGGGUUGGAAAAUCCGCCCUGCAUAAGACGAAGGCGUGAUGCGGAGCGAAAUGAAGUAGUGAAGCUGCGGCCCCUUCCUGUCGAGAAAAGCCGCUAUCGUGUAGCAAGGGCCCGUACCGUAAACCGACACAGGUGGAUGAGGAGAGGAUCCUAAGGCCGGCGGGAGAAGUGUUGUUAAGGAACUCGGCAAAAUGACUCCGUAACUUCGGGAGAAGGAGUGCUGCGCAAGCAGCCGCAGAGAAAUGGCCCAAGCAACUGUUUAGCAAAAACACAGGUCUAUGCGAAACCGAAAGGUGAGGUAUAUGGGCUGACGCCUGCCCGGUGCUGGAAGGUUAAGGGGAGAGCUUAGCGCGAGCGAAGGUUUGAACUUAAGCCCCAGUAAACGGCGGCCGUAACAAUAACGGUCCUAAGGUAGCGAAAUUCCUUGUCGGGUAAGUUCCGACCCGCACGAAAGGCGUAAUGAUUUGGGCACUGUCUCAACAACACACCCGGUGAAAUUGAAAUACCAGUGAAGAUGCUGGUUACCCGCGCCAGGACGGAAAGACCCCAUGGAGCUUUACUCCAGCCUGAUACUGGGAUUCGGUAUUGCAUGUACAGGAUAGGUGGGAAGCUAAGAACUUAUGGCGCCAGCUGUAAGGGAGCCGGUGUUGGGAUACCACCCCUGCAGUACUGGGUUUCUAACCUGCGCCCGUGACCCGGGCGGGGGACAAUGUCAGGCGGGGAGUUUGACUGGGGCGGUCGCCUCCGAAAGGGUAUCGGAGGCGCUCAAAGGUCUCCUCAGGAUGGUUGGAAACCAUCCAGAGAGUGCAAAGGCAGAAGGAGGCUUGACUGCGACACCGACGGGUGGAGCAGGUACGAAAGUAGGACUUAGUGAUCCGGUGGCAUAAAGUGGGAUUGCCAUCGCUCAACGGAUAAAAGCUACCCUGGGAUAACAGGCUUAUCACUCCCAAGAGUUCACAUCGACGGAGUGGUUUGGCACCUCGAUGUCGGCUCAUCGCAUCCUGGAGCUGGAGCAGGUUCCAAGGGUUGGGCUGUUCGCCCAUUAAAGCGGUACGCGAGCUGGGUUCAGAACGUCGUGAGACAGUUCGGUCCCUAUCCGGCGCGGGCGCAGGAUAUCUGAGAGGAGCUGUCCUUAGUACGAGAGGACCGGGAUGGACCGUCCGCUGGUGGACCGGUUGUCAUGCCAAUGGCACGGCCGGGUAGCCAAGACGGGAAGGGAUAAACGCUGAAGGCAUCUAAGCGUGAAGCCCCCCUCAAGAUGAGAUAUCCAUACUCGAAAGAGUGAGAGACCCCUUAGAGACGAUGAGGUAGAUAGGGCAGGGAUGGAAGCACAGCGAUGUGUGGAGUUGACUGUUACUAAUCGGUCGAUAGCUU